UACGUAGGGACCAAGCGUUGUUCGGAUUUACUGGGCGUAAAGGGCGCGUAGGCGGCGUGACAAGUCACUUGUGAAAUCUCUGAGCUUAACUCAGAACGGCCAAGUGAAACUGUUGUGCUAGAGUGCAGAAGGGGCAAUCGGAAUUCUUGGUGUAGCGGUGAAAUGCGUAGAUAUCAAGAGGAACACCUGAGGUGAAGACGGGUUGCUGGGCUGACACUGACGCUGAAGCGCGAAAGCCAGGGGAGCAAACGGG
This 253-nucleotide ribosomal RNA is filed under the name uncultured bacterium. RNAcentral describes it as "partial 16S ribosomal RNA". It matches the Rfam family "Bacterial small subunit ribosomal RNA", at positions 524 to 776 of the family's 1533-position model. The record is from RNAcentral.